UACGGGGGGGGCAAGCGUUGUUCGGAAUUACUGGGCGUAAAGGGCUCGUAGGCGGCCAACUAAGUCAGACGUGAAAUCCCCAGGCUUAACCUGGGAACUGCGUCUGAUACUGGAUGGCUUGAGAUUGGGAGAGGGAUGCGGAAUUCCAGGUGUAGCGGUGAAAUGCGUAGAUAUCUGGAGGAACACCGGUGGCGAAGGCGGGUCUCUGGGCCGAUACUGACGCUGAGGAGCGAAAGCGUGGGGAGCGAACAGG
Molecule: ribosomal RNA, 253 nt
Filed under: uncultured bacterium
Lineage: Bacteria
Description: partial 16S ribosomal RNA
Rfam family: Bacterial small subunit ribosomal RNA
Source: RNAcentral